Molecule: ribosomal RNA, 720 nt
Filed under: uncultured bacterium
Lineage: Bacteria
Description: bacterial SSU rRNA
Rfam family: Bacterial small subunit ribosomal RNA
Source: RNAcentral
GGGUGAGUAACACGUGAGUGACCUGCCUUUANGACUGGAACACUUUACCGAAAGGUGAGCUAAUGCCGGAUGAGUUAUAUAAGUGCAUGUUUAUAUAGGAAAAGUUGGGGAGACCUGACGCUGAAAGAUGGACUCGCGUCCCAUUAGCUAGUUGGUAGGGUAAUGGCCUACCAAGGCGACGAUGGGUAGCCGGCCUGAGAGGGUGGCCGGCCACACUGGGACUGAGACACGGCCCAGACUCCUACGGGAGGCAGCAGUGGGGAAUUUUGCGCAAUGCUCGUAAGAGUGACGCAGCGACGCCGCGUGAAUGACGAAGGCCUUCGGGUCGUAAAGUUCUUUCGACAGGGAAGAAAAUGCCUAUAAGUAACUGUGUAUGUAUUGACGGUACCUGUAUAAGCAGCCCCGGCUAACUCCGUGCCAGCAGCCGCGGUAAUACGGAGGGGGCGAGCGUUGUUCGGAGUGACUGGGCGUAAAGAGCACGUAGGCGGUGUUGUAAGUCAUUAGUCAAAGACUAGAGCUCAACUUUAGUAAGGCUAGUGAUACUAUAAUACUAGAGUAUCAGAGAGGAUUGCAGAAUUCCUGGUGUAGCGGUGAAAUGCGUAGAUAUCAGGAGGAAUACCGUUAGCGAAGGCGGCAAUCUGGCUGGAAACUGACGCUGAGGUGCGAAAGCGUGGGUAGCAAACAGGAUUAGAUACCCUGGUAGUCCACGCUGUAAACGAU